RNAcentral lists this ribosomal RNA (253 nucleotides) under uncultured bacterium. RNAcentral's name for it is "partial 16S ribosomal RNA". It matches the Rfam family "Bacterial small subunit ribosomal RNA", at positions 524 to 776 of the family's 1533-position model. The record is from RNAcentral.
UACAGAGGGUGCAAGCGUUAAUCGGAGUUACUGGGCGUAAAGGGCGCGUAGGUGGUUAGACAAGUAAGAUGUGAAAUCCCUGGGCUUAACCUAGGAAUUGCAUUUUAAACUGUUUAGCUGGAGUGCAGUAGAGGGUAGUGGAAUUUCCGGUGUAGCGGUGAAAUGCGUAGAGAUCGGAAGGAACACCAGUGGCGAAGGCGACUACCUGGACUGCAACUGACACUGAGGCGCGAAAGCGUGGGGAGCGAACAGG